This is a long non-coding RNA of Dreissena polymorpha, 3814 nucleotides long. RefSeq lists it as uncharacterized. NCBI's taxonomy places the organism in Eukaryota, Metazoa, Mollusca, Bivalvia, Myida, Dreissenidae. The record is from RefSeq and is a predicted model, not a curated record. The transcript has 2 exons.
GAACGUUAAACCUCAAAUCAUGUUCAAUGAGAGAUAAUUUAUUUCAACGGUUUCAACGGUAGAUGUAGUACGGUAGCAUAGAUGUAACGAGAUACAAAAAGCUCGUUUGCGAGAUUGACUACGUCGUGCUUCCUACGCCCGGAGCAAAUCAUGCGGCCGCGAUAAAAUGUUCGGAUAUAUUCGCGAAAAUGGUGGACAAUCCUCGUGCCUCUAAUCAGUGAUCAGUUCCCACGGGCGAUUCAAGCGCGACGAAAAAUCGUCAUUCCAUACCUGGCACAGGGCUCAAUCUGAAGACAAACGUGCAUAAUUGGUGUACGAUAAACUCCAUAUUGAUGAUGCAACAUUAAGACCCAGUUCCCGAAUCACCGUCUGGACGCUCCGAGACCAAGAAUCAUAAUGCAAGUAGGCAAACCAGUAACAGAGCGUCUCGCCGACAACAAGUCCCGAGCUAGGAUCAGCAACGAAAACCGCUAAAAUUUCUUGUUUGGAACGUUCAAGGAUUAUGUUCUAAACUAUAUGACCCUGAUUUUUCCCACAACAUCAAUGACGUUCACUUUGUUUUUCUCUGUAAAACAGGGCAUUCCUAUGGUGGUUAUAAAACAAUUGAGGGUUUUGAACACUUUGUUUAUUUCAAUGUAACUUUCUAAACGAGAAUAGUGACUUAUUGGAAAAUUCUAAUUUGAACCAUUAUGAAAACUUGCCCGCCGAUGAUGUAUAUUACAAUUCGCAAAUCGCAUGAUGUUUUUACAAACCGUUUUAUGGUUCGAUUUUUAACUUUAUGCAAAGAAUGCUGUGUAUAACCUUAAGAAUUAAUCUUAUUAUAUUAGUGUGACUUUGCCAAUUAAAUAAGUGUUUAGUUGACAUUGAAUUAUGCACUUCUGUUAAAUCAUCAUUAUGGUAAAUGGGUUGAGAAUAGUAAAGUAUUAUAACUAGGGGUCAUCCAAGUCAAAAGCCAAUGCACAUGUGAAGUAUCAAGCCAAUAUAUCGAUUCGUCGACGAGUAAUCGAUCGGAAAUGACUGUCACACUUAUUGUGACAGUAACCUUGACCGUUGUCCUAGUGACUCUAAUUUCAAUAGCGGUAAACUACUGUCAAAGACAAAUGCACAUUUGAAGUAUCAAGCCAAUCGGUCGAUUCGUUAACGAGUUAUUGAUUGGAAACGAUUUUAGCACUUAUUGUGACAGUGACCUUGACCUUUGACCGAAUGACGUAAUUUUUAAUAGGAGUCAUAUUAUGACCCAGGCCAAAACACAUGGGAAGGAUCAGCCAAUUGAUAAAUUCGUUGACGUGUUAUUGAGCGGAAACGAUUUGCACACUUAUUGUGACCGUGACCUAAACCUUUGACCCCGAUAUAUUGUGGGGUAAUCUACUGUCCUAGGCUUCAAGUAGCAAGCCAAUCGGUCAUUCCGUUGACAAGUUAUUGAUCAGAAGCAUUCAUACUUAUUGUGACAGUGACUUUGACCUAGUGACCCUAGUUUCAAGAUGGGGUCAUCUACCGUCCAUGGCCAAGUAUCAAGUUAAUCGGUCAAUUCGUUUGCGAGUUAUUGAUUGAAAACGAACUGGUCUAAUGACAGACAGAUCGACCGAAAGAUCGACCGACCGACAUACAGCAAAACAAUAUAUCCCCUAUUCAACGAGAGGGCAUACAUAUGAACCUACCAAUUGGAAUACAUCGAGAGGUAAUCAUGCUACCUUAUUCAACAUAUUAGAAAACGAAUCUUACAACUUUGACCUACUGCACCGUCGUUGGCUUACGGUUUAUUUGAUUUGGAUUCGUGCAUUAACAACCUGUGGUCUCUUCUCUAUCAAAUAUCAUUUCGGGUCCACGGGAAACGACGCUGUAGUGCGAGUUCAAAUACACAUGUAAUAAAAUCGAAAAAAUGAUACAAAAGUAUAUAAUGUUUUUAGAAGUUAAGCGGUCAUGCUAUGUUUGUAAGUGAAAAGCUAAAUACACUUACAAUGUCAUAGAGCAACAUCGAGUUAAAUUCGAUUCUUGAAAAUUGUGUAAAGAUAUAAAGAAGUGUAAAGGCGGUAAUACAAAUCAUAAUGAUAUAAAUGUAAAUAAUUUCUUAAAUCACUUUAAUUAAUGUCACGAAAUUAAAGCGCGGAUUUGGACGGUAACGUUGCGAACUUUGUCAUUAAUUGUAAUGAAUUUAUUGCUUCAUAUCUGUUUAAUAUCUUUAAUUAUUAAUUCGAAAACACCGUAUAUCCGGUGUCUUGGACUAAAUGCUCAUUUGCCACAUUAUUCAAAAAGGUGAUAAAUCGAAAUCGGCCAUUAUAGAGGGAUAAUUCUUGUUAAUAGUCAACUAAAAUUUUCUUUAACACUGCAAAUUCAUCUUAUAAGCGAUGCGAGGAUUACUCUGUUAUUAAUGAAUGUCAAUUAGGUUUUAUAAAUAAUCGUAGCAAGUCUUAUUGUAUAUUCAUUUUGCAUAGUAUCAUUUAGAAGGAUUUAGCAAAUAAUUUCAAACUAGCUUGUGCCUUUGUAGACGAUACUGCAAUCAUGAUCUCCUUUGGAUUAACAUACAUCAGCUGCAAAAUGCUUAAUAUGCUGAACUCCAUGUAUGAAAAUGAAAAAUCUUGCAUACAACGUACAAGUAAAACGUCAUAUUCAGAAUUGUUUGAUGAAUCUUUAAGGGUUAAACAUGGUGAACGAUUGUCACCACUUAAGUGUAUUCUGUUUAUCAACGAUAUUGGUGAACAUUUGAAAAGAACGAGUCCUAAACUAUUGGUGUAUUAUUAUGCAGUCACAUAAUACUUUGAUAAAUAAACUUUUGAUUAUAAUUGUUUUAAUUUUUACAACAAAAUAUUUUGGCCAAAUGCUGUCAAAACAACACUUGAUUCACUUGGUUUUAAUAAUUUGUGGUUGCGCCAGAAUAACGAAAUUAGUUGCAUUUAUAUGCUAUUACAAAGAGUCCUAGACGUUUACAAUCAAACUCGGUUUGAAUGUUCACGGUCUCAAAGUAAGCUUUCAUAUGAUAUCACAUUUAAAAGGAUUUUUUAAACAUGCUUCAAUUAAAUUGAUAUUGAAAAGGAUUGAGUAGAUUUCGAUUGUGUUCGCAUCACUUAGAAAUAGAAAGAAGCAAAUUUAAUAAUAUUAACGUCACUGAUCAAAAGUAUAAAGUGUGUACUACUGGAAUGAUGAAAUCUGAAUUUUAUUUUAUAUGUAUGUGUGAAAUUAAUAAAGAUCUGAGAUCCAAAUACAAAAUAAUGCUGUCAUUAAAUACCUUGAAUUAUUAAAAAAAAUAUAUUGCAUCAAAGGCUGUAAAACUCAUCCAUAAAGUAUCGAUUUAUCUAUUUUGCAAUGUUAAAGCGACAAGAAGUCAUUGAUUCUUGUGUUGAUUCCUAGUUGUUUAAAAUUAUUUCGCAUAAUAUACCAUAGUUUUUUAUAUUAUUUCUUGUAUAUUUUGCUGUUUUUGUUUGAUUAUAUUUGUGUCAUCUAUUAACAAUAGUUGUAUUCUAUGACCUACUUUCUUACACUUAUUGUAUAAUAAUUCUAAUUGCAUACAGCAUUUUUGAUAUAGCCAAACUUCAUCUCAAUGCGUAUAUGCAUUUAUAAUAUGAUUACAUGUUGCCCAAAGAAUGUUUUGCUUAUUAUGCAAAUAAAUAAAUAAACUGUUCAUAAAAAAUUAUAUAUAUAUGAAGUUCCCAUUGGGUACAUCUUUGUACCAAGGAUGUUAAUUUGUAUUAUCUGUUUUGGUUAAAUCAUAUUUAGGUGUAUAUUAUUGGGUUACUGUAAAUUUGAACUUUGUUGCGCUUUUAACUGCAUUUAUGUUGAGGACACACGCGACGCAAUUUAAAAUUAAAUUAUAUACGUU